AUUGAACGCUGGCGGCAGGCUUAACACAUGCAAGUCGAGCGGGGUGAUGGUGCUUGCACUAUCACUUAGCGGCGGACGGGUGAGUAAUGCUUAGGAAUCUGCCUAUUAGUGGGGGACAACAUCUCGAAAGGGAUGCUAAUACCGCAUACGUCCUACGGGAGAAAGCAGGGGAUCACUUGUGACCUUGCGCUAAUAGAUGAGCCUAAGUCGGAUUAGCUAGUUGGUGGGGUAAAGGCCAACCAAGGCGACGAUCUGUAGCGGGUCUGAGAGGAUGAUCCGCCACACUGGACUGAGACACGGCCCAGACUCCUACGGGAGGCAGCAGUGGGGAAUGUUGGACAAUGGGGGGACCCUGAUCCAGCCAUGCCGCGUGUGUGAAGAAGGCCUUAUGGUUGUAAAGCACUUUAAGCGAGGAGGAGGCUCUUUUGGUUAAUACCCAAGAUGAGUGGACGUUACUCGCAGAAUAAGCACCGGCUAACUCUGUGCCAGCCGCCGCCGUAA
Molecule: ribosomal RNA, 501 nt
Filed under: uncultured bacterium
Lineage: Bacteria
Description: partial 16S ribosomal RNA
Rfam family: Bacterial small subunit ribosomal RNA
Source: RNAcentral